GAUGAACGCUGGCGGCGUGCCUAAUACAUGCAAGUCGAGCGAACAGACGAGGAGCUUGCUCCUCUGACGUUAGCGGCGGACGGGUGAGUAACACGUGGAUAACCUACCUAUAAGACUGGGAUAACUUCGGGAAACCGGAGCUAAUACCGGAUAAUAUAUUGAACCGCAUGGUUCAAUAGUGAAAGACGGUUUUGCUGUCACUUAUAGAUGGAUCCGCGCCGCAUUAGCUAGUUGGUAAGGUAACGGCUUACCAAGGCGACGAUGCGUAGCCGACCUGAGAGGGUGAUCGGCCACACUGGAACUGAGACACGGUCCAGACUCCUACGGGAGGCAGCAGUAGGGAAUCUUCCGCAAUGGGCGAAAGCCUGACGGAGCAACGCCGCGUGAGUGAUGAAGGUCUUCGGAUCGUAAAACUCUGUUAUUAGGGAGGAACAAAUGUGUAAGUAACUAUGCACGUCUUGACGGUACCUAAUCAGAAAGCCACGGCUAACUACG
This 495-nucleotide ribosomal RNA is filed under the name uncultured bacterium. RNAcentral describes it as "partial 16S ribosomal RNA". It matches the Rfam family "Bacterial small subunit ribosomal RNA", at positions 28 to 505 of the family's 1533-position model. The record is from RNAcentral.